AACGAACGCUGGCGGCAGGCUUAACACAUGCAAGUCGAACGCACCUUUCGGGGUGAGUGGCCGACGGGUGAGUAACGCGGGGGAAUCUACCCUUCUCUACGGGAUAGCUCCGGGAAACGGGAAUUAAUACCGUAUACGUGCUGAGGGAGAAAGAUUUAUCGGGGAAGGAUGAGCCCGCGUUGGAUUAGCUAGUUGGUGGGGUAAAGGCCUACCAAGGCGACGAUACAUAGCUGGUCUAUGAGGAUGAUCAGCCACAUUGGGGCUGAGACACAGCCCAAACUCCUACGGGAGGCGGCAAUGGGUAAUAUUGGACAAUGGGGGGAAGGAUGAUCCAGCCAUGCCGGGUGAGUGAUGACGGCGCUAGGGUAGGAAAGCUCGUUAAGUGGUGUCGUUAAUGACGGUACCCACAGAAGAAGCCCCGGCUAACUUCGUG
RNAcentral lists this ribosomal RNA (433 nucleotides) under uncultured bacterium. RNAcentral describes it as "partial 16S ribosomal RNA". It matches the Rfam family "Bacterial small subunit ribosomal RNA", at positions 29 to 507 of the family's 1533-position model. The record is from RNAcentral.